GAUGAACGCUGGCUACAGGCUUAACACAUGCAAGUCGUGGGGAAACGGCAUUAUGUGCUUGCACAUUCUGGACGUCGACCGGCGCACGGGUGAGUAUCGCGUAUCCAACCUGCCCCUUACUUGGGGAUACCCCGUUGAAAGACGGCCUAAUACCCGAUGUGUUUCAUUGACGGCAUCCGAUAUGAAACAAAGGUUUUCCGGUAAGGGAUGGGGAUGCGUCUGAUUAGCUUGUUGGCGGGGCAACGGCCCACCAAGGCGACGAUCAGUAGGGGUUCUGAGAGAAAGGUCCCCCACAUUGGAACUGAGACACGGUCCAAACUCCUACGGGAGGCAGCAGUGAGGAAUAUUGGUCAAUGGACGCAAGUCUGAACCAGCCAAGUAGCGUGCAGGAUGACGGCCCUAUGGGUUGUAAACUGCUUUUAUGUGGGAAUAAAUUGGCGCACGUGUGCGCCAUUGCAUGUA
Molecule: ribosomal RNA, 462 nt
Filed under: Prevotella nigrescens
Lineage: Bacteria; Pseudomonadati; Bacteroidota; Bacteroidia; Bacteroidales; Prevotellaceae
Description: bacterial SSU rRNA
Rfam family: Bacterial small subunit ribosomal RNA
Source: RNAcentral